GACGAACCGUCCUAACGUUGUUCGGAAUCACUGGGCUUAAAGGGCGCGUAGACGGCCUUGAAAGUCGGGGGUGAAAUCCCACGGCCUAACCGUGGAAGUGCCUCCGAUACUGCAAGGCUCGAGGGAGGUAGGGGCAGCUGGAACUUCCGGUGGAGCGGUGAAAUGCGUUGAUAUCGGAAGGAACGCCGGUGGCGAAAGCGAGCUGCUGGACCUCUGCUGACGCUGAGGCGCGAAAGCCAGGGGAGCAAACGGG
Molecule: ribosomal RNA, 253 nt
Filed under: uncultured bacterium
Lineage: Bacteria
Description: partial 16S ribosomal RNA
Rfam family: Bacterial small subunit ribosomal RNA
Source: RNAcentral